Molecule: ribosomal RNA, 237 nt
Filed under: Triticum aestivum (bread wheat)
Lineage: Eukaryota; Viridiplantae; Streptophyta; Magnoliopsida; Poales; Poaceae
Description: partial small subunit ribosomal RNA
Source: RNAcentral
AUGUUCUCGUCGCAGUCACUCAGCCGCGUCAACAACAUCUGCACAGCGCGAACAACGCGCAGAAGGGAAAUCAAUCGGUGGCCUCCUAAUUCACCGCCAUGCGAGGCCUUGCCGAUGAACUCGCCGCAGCCGGCAAGGCCAUCUAGGAUGACGAGCUCAUGUCCUACAUCAUUCACGGGCUGGACCAAGAUUACCUGCCCCUGGUCUCUGCUUUGGACGCCCGCACUACUCCGGUAA